UGUAGUGGAAAGGAUUAAAAUGGAAACUGCGUACAGCUCAUUACAACAGGGAUUGUUUAUAACGUAAAUGAACUUAGCUGGAUAUUAUCGGUAAUUCUGUGACCAAUACGUGGAUAUAUACAUGUGUGCUUCGGCAUGCAUUCAAAGCCUCUUUUCAAAGCAAUGACUCUAGUGAUUUAAAGGCUUAAUAUUACCGAUGAUCGUACGCCCUUGUGGUGAUGACAAACGUUAUAAAUCUCUGCUCUAUUAACCUUGUGCUAGUGUAGUGUACUGCCAAGGUUGUAAUGGGUAACGGAGAAUUAGGGUUCGUCUCCGGAGAAGGCGCCUGAGAAAUGGCGACUAGUUCCACGGAAUGCAGCAGGCGCGAAACUUACCCAAUGUCAGAUCGACGAGGUAGUGAAGAAACAUAGCGAGACUGACCUCUCUGAGGGCGGUCAUUGCAAUGGAUUUAAUCCAAACUCUUUUUUGAGUAUCAACGAGUGGGCAAGUCUGGUGCCAGCAGCCGCGGUAAUUCCAGCACUCGUAGUGUAUAGAUAUAUUGUUGCGUUUAAAAAGCUCGUAGUUGGAUUGCCACAUGGGUUCGGGUUCGGACUUCGGUUCGCAACUUGAUCUGUGUUCUGUGUCGAGGGCUCGGCUUCGGUCGCAGUCAUUGACACUGGAUUACUUUGAAUGUCUUAGGUGCUCAAUGCGAGGCUUAAGCUUGAAUUGCAUUUUAUGGAAUAAUGGAACAAGGUUUCGGCCGAGUUUCGUUGGUUUGUUGGUCGAAGCAAUGGUUAAAAGGGACAGUUCGUGGGUGAACGUAUCGCUGCUCGAGGAGUGAAAUCUGUGGACAGUGGCGAGACGACCGAAAGCGAAAGCAUUCACCAAGGAUGUUUUCAUUAAUCAAGAGCGAAAGUCAGAGGAUCGAAGGUGAUUAGAUACCGCCCUAGUUCUGACCGUAAACGAUGCCAACUGUUGGUCUGCGUGUGGAUUUUAUUCACUGCGUGGGAAAGCCCCCGGAAACGAAAGUGUUUCGGCUCCGGGGGUAGUAUGGUUGCAAAGCUGAAACUUAAAGGAAUUGACGGAAGGGCACCACCAGGAGUGGAUCUUGCGGCUUAAUUUGACUCAACACGGGAAAGCUUACCUGCGUAGUAUAUUGUUAGGAUUGACAGACUGCUGGCUCUUUCAUAAUUCGGUUAAUGGUGGUGCAUGGCCGUUCUUAGUUCGUGGAUUGAUUUGUCUGCUUAAUUGCGAUAACGAGCGAGACUCUGACAAUUAAAUGAUUUUUGCCCAUAAUUGUUCAGAUGUAUAUCUUAGUUGGAUUGAUUAUGUUUAAUGAUAUGAAAGAGAGCAAUAACAGGUCUGUUAUGCCCUGAGAUAGGCAGGGCCGCACGCGUGCUACAAUGUUGGUGGCAGCGUGCUUAUUCGUUUUUGAUAGUAAGCGGUAAACCGUUGAGGUAUUAUUAUGGUCGGAAUUGAGGAUUGUAAUUAUUUCUCGUGAACAAGGAAUUCCUUGUAAUUGAAUGUCAUUAUCGUUCAAUGAAUAUGUCCCUGCCCUUUGUACACACCGCCCGUCGCUGCCCGGAACUGAGUUAUUUCGAGAAGAUUAUGGACGAUGGAGCUUUUUCACUUCGGUGUUGGGUUUCGUUGAAAGUGAUUUAAUCGCGAUGGCUU
Molecule: ribosomal RNA, 1653 nt
Filed under: Pseudaphelenchus scheffrahni
Lineage: Eukaryota; Metazoa; Nematoda; Chromadorea; Rhabditida; Aphelenchoididae
Description: SSU rRNA
Rfam family: Eukaryotic small subunit ribosomal RNA
Source: RNAcentral